Molecule: ribosomal RNA, 494 nt
Filed under: uncultured Pseudomonadota bacterium
Lineage: Bacteria; Pseudomonadati; Pseudomonadota
Description: bacterial SSU rRNA
Rfam family: Bacterial small subunit ribosomal RNA
Source: RNAcentral
AACGAACGCUGGCGGCGUGCCUAACACAUGCAAGUCGAAUGCGAAACGGGGCUUCGGUCCCUGAGUAGCAUGGCAGACGGGUGAGGAACACGUAUCUGACCUGACACGCGAUGGGGGAUAGUCCUGCGAAAGUGGGCAUAAUACCGCAUACGCUCAUCCCGGUAGAGGGGGAUGAGGAAAGUUGGCCUCUCCAUGGAAGCGAAUGUCGCGUGAGGGGGAUGCGUCCUAUUAGUUAGUUGGUGGGGUAAUGGCCUACCAAGACGACGAUGGGUAGCUGGUCUGAGAGGAUGAUCAGCCACACUGGGACUGAGACACGGCCCAGACUCCUACGGGAGGCAGCAGUGGGGAAUUUUGCGCAAUGGGCGCAAGCCUGACGCAGCAACGCCGCGUGUGUGAAGACGCCUUUCGGGGUGUAAAACACUGUCAGGGGGGACGAAUGGCCCGCCGGUGAAGAGCCGGCAGGCGUGACGGUACCUCCAGAGGAAGCCCCGGCU